Camelina sativa (false flax) is the source of this 443-nucleotide non-coding RNA. NCBI's taxonomy places the organism in Eukaryota, Viridiplantae, Streptophyta, Magnoliopsida, Brassicales, Brassicaceae. The record is from RefSeq and is a predicted model, not a curated record.
GUCUUCUCCGUCGCUGAUCGAUCUAAUCAGCGGUGGUUAUGGCUUCUAACGAUCCAAAAAACAGCGGCGGUUUCUUCGCCUCUAUUGCUUCAUCCAUCACCAGUUUUGGAUCGGUCAUGUCCAAAUCAGUUAACGGUUUGAUGGGAUAUGAAGGGCUUGAAGUAAUUAAUUCAGAGGGAAGUACUGCGGAUGCAGAGGAGGAAGCAACAAGAGGAAGGUGGAAGCAAGAGUUAUGUUUUACUAAAGAGUUAGAAAAAGAAAAAAACUGAUUCUUGGAUUGCUCACGAACGUGAUAUGGAUAUUGGAAGAUGAUGCAGAAGUACAUAGGUUCUGAUGUUACAUCUAUGGUGACUCUUCAUGUCAUCAUUUUUGAACCCAUGACAAUGCUUCAGAAGAUGGCUGAGUUGAUGGAAUACUCGCAUCUGCUUGACAUGGCUGACAAA